UACGUAGGGUGCGAGCGUUGUCCGGAAUUAUUGGGCGUAAAGCGCGCGCAGGCGGUUCCUUAAGUCUGAUGUGAAAGCCCACGGCUCAACCGUGGAGGGUCAUUGGAAACUGGGGAACUUGAGUGCAGGAGAGAAGAGUGGAAUUCCACGUGUAGCGGUGAAAUGCGUAGAUAUCGGGAGGAACACCUGUGGCGAAGGCGGCUUUCUGGGCCUUACCUGACGCUGAGACGCGAAAGCGUGGGGAGCGAGCCGG
RNAcentral lists this ribosomal RNA (253 nucleotides) under uncultured bacterium. Its description in RNAcentral is "partial 16S ribosomal RNA". It matches the Rfam family "Bacterial small subunit ribosomal RNA", at positions 524 to 776 of the family's 1533-position model. The record is from RNAcentral.